AUACGUAGGUGGCGAGCGUUGUCCGGAAUUACUGGGCGUAAAGGGCGUGUAGGCGGGGGGACAAGUCAGAUGUGAAAUACCGCAGCUUAACUGCGGGGCUGCAUCUGAAACUGUUCUUCUUGAGUGUCGGAGAGGAAAGUGGAAUUCCCAGUGUAGCGGUGAAAUGCGUAGAGAUUGGGAGGAACACCAGUGGCGAAGGCGGCUUUCUGGACGUUAACUGACGCUGAGGCGCGAAAGCGUGGGGAGCAAACAGGAUUAGAUACCCUGGUAGUCCACGCUGUAAACGAUGGAUACUAGGUGUAGGAGGUAUCGACCCCUUCUGUGCCGGAGUUAACACAAUAAGUAUCCCGCCUGGGGAGUACGGCCGCAAGGUUGAA
This 377-nucleotide ribosomal RNA is filed under the name uncultured bacterium. RNAcentral describes it as "bacterial SSU rRNA". It matches the Rfam family "Bacterial small subunit ribosomal RNA", at positions 523 to 898 of the family's 1533-position model. The record is from RNAcentral.